GACGAACGCUGGCGGCGUGCUUAACACAUGCAAGUCGAGCGGAGCGGCGAACGGGUGAGUAACGCGUGAGUAACUGCCCCCCUCUCUGGGAUAACAGUUGGAAACGGCUGCUAAUACCGGAUAGUGGGGGAUGACUCGCGUCCUAUCAGCUAGUAGGUGGGGUAAAGGCUCACCUAGGCGACGAUCUCUAGCUGGUCUGAGAGGAUGAUCAGCCACACUGGGCUGAGACACUGCCCAGACUCCUACGGGAGGCAGCAGUGGGGAAUAUUGCACAAUGGGCGCAAGCCUGAUGCAGCCAUGCCGCGUGUAUGAAGAAGGCCUUAGGGUUGUAAACCGCUUUCAGCCAUGACGCGGUAGUGGCAGAAGAAGCACCGGCUAACUACGUGCCAGCAGCCGCGGUAAUAC
Molecule: ribosomal RNA, 405 nt
Filed under: uncultured bacterium
Lineage: Bacteria
Description: partial 16S ribosomal RNA
Rfam family: Bacterial small subunit ribosomal RNA
Source: RNAcentral